GCAUAUCAAUAAGCGGUGGAAAAGAAACCAACAGGGAUUGCCUCAGUAACGGCGAGUGAAGCGGCAAGAGCUCAAAUUUGAAAUCUAGUACCUUCGGUGCUCGAGUUGUAAUUUGAAGGUAGUUUUCUGGUGCUGGCCCUUGUCUAUGUUCCUUGGAACAGGACGUCAUAGAGGGUGAGAAUCCCGUCUGAUGGGGUGUCCAGUGCUUUGUAGAUUUCUACCGAAGAGUCGAGUUGUUUGGGAAUGCAGCUCUAAGUGGGUGGUAAAUUCCAUCUAAAGCUAAAUACUGGCGAGAGACCGAUAGCGAACAAGUACAGUGAUGGAAAGAUGAAAAGAACUUUGAAAAGAGAGUGAAAAAGUACGUGAAAUUGUUGAAAGGGAAGGGUAUUGGAUCAGACUUGGUGUUUUGUGAUUAUCUUCCCUUCUUGGGUUGUGCACUCGCAUUUCACUGGGCCAGCAUCGGUUCGGAUGGCAAGAUAAUAGCUUGGGAAUGUGGCACUCUUCGGAGUGUGUUAUAUCCCUUGUUGAUGUUGCCUAUCUGGACCGAGGACUGCGGCUUCUGCCUAGGAUGCUGGCGUAAUGAUUCAAUACCGCCCGUCUUGAAACACGGACC
This 613-nucleotide ribosomal RNA is filed under the name Petasospora veronae. Its description in RNAcentral is "eukaryotic LSU rRNA". It matches the Rfam family "Eukaryotic large subunit ribosomal RNA", at positions 38 to 667 of the family's 3401-position model. Lineage: Eukaryota; Fungi; Ascomycota; Saccharomycetes; Phaffomycetales; Wickerhamomycetaceae. The record is from RNAcentral.